Molecule: ribosomal RNA, 239 nt
Filed under: uncultured Neisseria sp.
Lineage: Bacteria; Pseudomonadati; Pseudomonadota; Betaproteobacteria; Neisseriales; Neisseriaceae
Description: partial 16S ribosomal RNA
Rfam family: Bacterial small subunit ribosomal RNA
Source: RNAcentral
GCGUUAAUCGGAAUUACUGGGCGUAAAGCGGGCGCAGACGGUUACUUAAGCAGGAUGUGAAAUCCCCGGGCUCAACCUGGGAACUGCGUUCUGAACUCGGUGACUAGAGUGUGUCAGGGGGAGGUAGAAUUCCACGUGUAGCAGUGAAAUGCGUAGAGAUGUGGAGGAAUACCGAUGGCGAAGGCAGCCUCCUGGGAUAACACUGACGUUCAUGCCCGAAAGCGUGGGUAGCAAACAGG